This 473-nucleotide ribosomal RNA is filed under the name Veillonella parvula. Its description in RNAcentral is "bacterial SSU rRNA". It matches the Rfam family "Bacterial small subunit ribosomal RNA", at positions 28 to 466 of the family's 1533-position model. Lineage: Bacteria; Bacillati; Bacillota; Negativicutes; Veillonellales; Veillonellaceae. The record is from RNAcentral.
GACGAACGCUGGCGGCGUGCUUAACACAUGCAAGUCGAACGAAGAGCGACGGAAGCUUGCUUCUAUCAAUCUUAGUGGCGAACGGGUGAGUAACGCGUAAUCAACCUGCCCUUCAGAGGGGGACAACAGUUGGAAACGACUGCUAAUACCGCAUACGAUCUAAUCUCGGCAUCGAGGAUAGAUGAAAGGUGGCCUCUACAUGUAAGCUAUCACUGAAGGAGGGGAUUGCGCCUGAUUAGCUAGUUGGAGGGGUAACGGCCCACCAAGGCGAUGAUCAGUAGCCGGUCUGAGAGGAUGAACGGCCACAUUGGGACUGAGACACGGCCCAGACUCCUACGGGAGGCAGCAGUGGGGAAUCUUCCGCGAUGGACGAAAGUCUGACGGAGCAACGCCGCGUGAGUGAUGACGGCCUUCGGGUUGUAAAGCUCUGUUAAUCGGGACGAAAGGCCCUUCUUGCGAAACAAGUAGAAAGG